Molecule: long non-coding RNA, 546 nt
Organism: Bufo bufo (common toad)
Lineage: Eukaryota; Metazoa; Chordata; Amphibia; Anura; Bufonidae
Exons: 4
Source: RefSeq, a predicted model, not a curated record
CCUGUGCCAGCACAGAUUAGAGGGCUCAGGGCGCGAUUCUCCGAGGAAGAAAGAAGAGGACCGACCGACCGACCAACCGACCGACAGACAGACACCAAGGGCGAGCGCUGGGCAUUGCAGCAGAAGUACUGCACUCCAGGACCAUCUUCUCCUGCCUCACUGCCUGCUGGACUGGUCUAUAGACUGUGAGAACAAAUUGGUUCCUUUCUACUUGAUGCCUCCUCGUUGGACCUGGCUGGUUAAUUUUGAUGUUUCAUUUGGAUUUCUGUUCUGGUUAAGAAGCAUGACUCGUUCCUUUUCACAUUCAAAUUUUGUGAGAACAAAUUGGUUCCUUUCUACUUGAUGCCUCCUCGUUGGACCUGGCUGGUUAAUUUUGAUGUUUUAUUUGGAUUUCUGUUCUUGUUAAGAAGCACAACUCGUACUUAUUCACAAUCAAAUUUCAGUGAUUUACCAAGAUAUGGGUCAAGAAGCUUUAUGCCUUAUGUGGAGAAUCUUUGUUCUGGAACGCUUUUAACAUUUUUUUCUAUAUUUUAUAUGGUAACAUUA